This 74-nucleotide transfer RNA is filed under the name Pelagibius litoralis. It matches the Rfam family "tRNA". Rfam says of the family: Transfer RNA (tRNA) molecules are approximately 80 nucleotides in length. Their secondary structure includes four short double-helical elements and three loops (D, anti-codon, and T loops). Further hydrogen bonds mediate the characteristic L-shaped molecular structure. tRNAs have two regions of fundamental functional importance: the anti-codon, which is responsible for specific mRNA codon recognition, and the 3' end, to which the tRNAs corresponding amino acid is attached (by aminoacyl-tRNA synthetases). tRNAs cope with the degeneracy of the genetic code in two manners: having more than one tRNA (with a specific anti-codon) for a particular amino acid; and 'wobble' base-pairing, i.e. permitting non-standard base-pairing at the 3rd anti-codon position. Lineage: Bacteria; Pseudomonadati; Pseudomonadota; Alphaproteobacteria; Rhodospirillales; Rhodovibrionaceae. The record is from Rfam by way of RNAcentral. RNAcentral also lists the same sequence under 2 other names.
GGACCCGUAGCUCAGCUGGAUAGAGCGCUGCCCUCCGAAGGCAGAGGUCACAGGUUCGAAUCCUGUCGGGUCCG